This 279-nucleotide long non-coding RNA is filed under the name Medicago truncatula (barrel medic). Its description in RNAcentral is "long non-coding RNA (MTRU_LNC001375)". Lineage: Eukaryota; Viridiplantae; Streptophyta; Magnoliopsida; Fabales; Fabaceae. The record is from RNAcentral.
AUUAAUACUUGUGUGCAUGAUGAAUUUGGCAUAUUUAUAAGAGCCAAGAUAUUGUGGAUGCAAUCGGCUGUAAAGGUAGUUGUUGCAUAGUGUUUAGUUUAUUGAAAGCAAUGAAGUGGACUUAAAAUUAGGAAAGAGGAUUCAACAAGUUAUAUUUUCUAUGCAUGUCAAAGUGGUGGUUUGGGGGAUUGUUUCAAUUUCGUAGUACAUGAUAUCAUUGAGUUAGGUUCAAUGUGACAUUGAGCAGUGAUAUUUGAACAACCAUUUUAUAUAAUUUUU